Long non-coding RNA from Mauremys reevesii (Reeves's turtle), 642 nucleotides. RefSeq lists it as uncharacterized. Lineage: Eukaryota; Metazoa; Chordata; Testudines; Geoemydidae. The transcript has 3 exons. The record is from RefSeq and is a predicted model, not a curated record.
GCAGGAAGAGGACUAGUUGCCUGCUAGCUUUUCCCAGGCUGGGGUGAAUGAGAUGGAUCUGUUUGAUUCUAUCUCCAACCUGUGGAGGAGCACUGGGAAAACCCUCCCCCUAACAGGGCUCUGAACCAGAAAGAAUUACCACACAGCUGUUCUGCCAGGAGACAUUGUAGCAACAGGGAAUCAUAGGCCCUCACAGGGCAGCAUUAACUCUUGCAAUUGGACUGGAACGGGUGAUAUCAGGACUUAAGGGAGAGAUGAUAGCAGGUGGCAGCAUAUGAGAAGCUGCCAGAUGGUGUGGAGCAAAGUACUAUUUAUACCACAUUAUAGGCUUCUCUGUUUAAUAUACUAUGGUGGUUAAAAAUCAUUACUGAAUUUUGAACCCUUUAUUUUAUGAAAUUUGACCCUUUUGAUCUCUGCAUCUCCCAUUGAAAUCUAUGUGAGACUUUCCAGAGAAGUCAUAGGAAGCUAGGUUGGAUCUAAGUUGCAUUCAAAAAUGUUUCACUGCAUGUCUUGCAGACAUGGCCAGAGGUUCUCUGAAAUUUCUUUUGGCUUAUUAAUUUAUAAGAUGCACUUCCUUGUAAAUCCAUUUAUAUGAAAUAUUACUGCUUUUGAAAAAUAAAACUGAUUUUGUUUUCAACUGGG